This 183-nucleotide non-coding RNA is filed under the name Roseburia sp. CAG:50. The record is from RNAcentral. RNAcentral also lists the same sequence under 1 other name. Lineage: Bacteria; Bacillati; Bacillota; Clostridia; Lachnospirales; Lachnospiraceae.
UAGGGAGCAUAUUACAACUGCGGAAUGAUAGAAAUACAAUCUAGGAAGUCCGGUCAGAAUCCGGCACGGUUUAUCUCCGCUGUAAUAAGGACGAAAGUUGUCGAUACCACUGGGAAACCGGGAAGGGACAAUGAGUAGGUUGGAACUUUAAGUCAGAAUACAGGCAGUUGCAGCUCAGUAGAU